RNAcentral lists this ribosomal RNA (468 nucleotides) under uncultured bacterium. RNAcentral describes it as "partial 16S ribosomal RNA". It matches the Rfam family "Bacterial small subunit ribosomal RNA", at positions 28 to 507 of the family's 1533-position model. The record is from RNAcentral.
GACGAACGCUGGCGGCGUGCUUAACACAUGCAAGUCGAACGGAAAGGCCCUGCUUUUGUGGGGUGCUCGAGUGGCGAACGGGUGAGUAACACGUGAGUAACCUGCCCUUGACUUUGGGAUAACUUCAGGAAACUGGGGCUAAUACCGGAUAGGAGCUCCUGCUGCACGGUGGGGGUUGGAAAGAUUCGGCGGUUGGGGAUGGACUCGCGGCUUAUCAGCUUGUUGGUGGGGUAGUGGCUUACCAAGGCUUUGACGGGUAGCCGGCCUGAGAGGGUGACCGGCCACAUUGGUACUGAGAUACGGCCCAGACUCCUACGGGAGGCAGCAGUGGGGAAUAUUGCACAAUGGGCGGAAGCCUGAUGCAGCAACGCCGCGUGCGGGAUGACGGCCUUCGGGUUGUAAACCGCUUUCGCCUGUGACGAAGCGUGAGUGACGGUAAUGGGUAAAGAAGCACCGGCUAACUACGUG